CGCUGGCGGCGUGCCUAACACAUGCAAGUCGAACGGGGAUUUGUUUCGGCAGAAUCCUAGUGGCGAACGGGUGAGUAACGCGUAGGCAACCUGCCCUCCGGCCGGGGGACAACACUCCGAAAGGGGUGCUAAUACGGGAUACGAAGUCUGUGCCGCAUGGUACGGAUUUGAAAGAUGGCCUCUAUUUAUAAGCUAUCGCCGGGGGAUGGGCCUGCGUCCGAUUAGCUGGUUGGUGGGGUAACGGCCUACCAAGGCGACGAUCGGUAGCCGGUCUGAGAGGAUGAACGGCCACAUUGGGACUGAGACACGGCCCAGACUCCUACGGGAGGCAGCAGUGGGGAAUCUUCCGCAAUGGGCGCAAGCCUGACGGAGCAACGCCGCCGUGAGUGAGGAAGUUCUUCGGAACGUAAAGCUCUGUUGUUCCUGACGAACCUCCCCUCUAUCAACAACGGAGGGGACUGACGGUAGGGAACGAGGAAGCCACGGCUAACUACGUGCCAGCCGCGGC
RNAcentral lists this ribosomal RNA (508 nucleotides) under uncultured bacterium. RNAcentral describes it as "bacterial SSU rRNA". It matches the Rfam family "Bacterial small subunit ribosomal RNA", at positions 34 to 518 of the family's 1533-position model. The record is from RNAcentral.